GUGUAACUGACGCUAAAGCUCGAAAGUGCGGGUAUCGAACAGGAUUAGAUACCCUGGUAGUCCGCACGGUAAACGAUGGAUGCCCGCUGUUUGCGAUAUACAGUAAGCGGCCAAGCGAAAGCGUUAAGCAUCCCACCUGGGGAGUACGCCGGCAACGGUGAAACUCAAAGGAAUUGACGGGGGCCCGCACAAGCGGAGGAACAUGUGGUUUAAUUCGAUGAUACGCGAGGAACCUUACCCGGGCUUGAACUGCAGCAGAACGAUUCAGAGAUGAUGAGGCCCUUCGGGGCUGCUGUGGAGGUGCUGCAUGGUUGUCGUCAGCUCGUGCCGUGAGGUGUCGGCUUAAGUGCCAUAACGAGCGCAACCCCUUUCGUCAGUUGCCAUCAGGUUAAGCUGGGCACUCUGGCGACACUGCCACCGUAAGGUGUGAGGAAGGUGGGGAUGACGUCAAAUCAGCACGGCCCUUACGUCCGGGGCUACACACGUGUUACAAUGGGUGAUACAGAGCGUCGGCGCUUGGCAAUAAGCGUCCAAUCGUGAAAGUCAUCCUCAGUUCGGAUUGGGGUCUGCAACCCGACCCCAUGAAGCUGGAUUCGCUAGU
RNAcentral lists this ribosomal RNA (601 nucleotides) under uncultured bacterium. RNAcentral describes it as "bacterial SSU rRNA". It matches the Rfam family "Bacterial small subunit ribosomal RNA", at positions 734 to 1339 of the family's 1533-position model. The record is from RNAcentral.